This 473-nucleotide ribosomal RNA is filed under the name uncultured bacterium. RNAcentral's name for it is "bacterial SSU rRNA". It matches the Rfam family "Bacterial small subunit ribosomal RNA", at positions 772 to 1243 of the family's 1533-position model. The record is from RNAcentral.
ACGGAAUAGAUACCCUGGUAGUCCACGCCCUAAACGAUGUCUACUAGUUGUUGGUGGAGUAAAAUCCAUGAGUAAACGCAGCUAAAUGCGUGAAGUAGACCGCCUGGGGAGUACGGUCGCAAGAUUAAAACUCAAUGAAUUGACGGGGGCCCGGCACAAGCGGUGGAUUAUGUGGAUUAAUUCGAUGCAACGCGAAAACCUUACCUGGCCUUGACAUGUAACGAACUUUCCAGAGAUGGAUUGGUGCUCGAAAGAGAACGUUAACACAGGUGCUGCAUGGCUGUCGUCAGCUCGUGUCGUGAGAUGUUGGGUUAAGUCCCGCAACGAGCGCAACCCUUGCCAUUAAUUGCCAUCAUUUAGUUGGGCACUUUAAUGGGACUGCCGGUGACAAACCGGAGGAAGGUGGGGAUGACGUCAAGUCCUCAUGGCCCUUAUGGCCAGGGCUUCACACGUAAUACAAUGGUCGGUACAGA